ACGAGGAAGAGAUGGUCACUUGCAUCUCCCACAGGAAGUACAACCACUUUACUACUGAAGGAAGAUUUCUCUGCCCGCCCAGCAACAGCCCAGCCAAUCAGACAAUGCCGCA
Ceratotherium simum simum (southern white rhinoceros) is the source of this 112-nucleotide non-coding RNA. Lineage: Eukaryota; Metazoa; Chordata; Mammalia; Perissodactyla; Rhinocerotidae. The record is from RefSeq and is a predicted model, not a curated record.